ACAGAGUUUUGCUCCUGUUGCCCAGGCUGGAGUACAAUGGUGCGAUCUUGGCUCACCACAACUUCCGCCUCCUGGGUUCAAGUGAUUCUCCUACAAAUGUAUCGCAAAGAACUCCCGCACCGUUCCCUGAAGGAGACAAAGUUUCUCCAGAGGCCAGCUCAUUCCAGAGAACUGAAGCUCUUUGAAAUUCAGCUUCUAUGAAGACUCUGCAAGCCCCAAAGUGUUUAACCAAGACCUUUACCUGGGAAAGAGAAUCCGGACUCAGCCCUCUGCAGGCUGUUGAAGCUCAAGCCACCACCAUGCCAACUUCCACAAUGAUUCCACCAACACAAGUCAAGCACUGCCACCACCAUGAGAAACACAAUCCAGCAACUGUAACAAAACCCACAACAGCCAACACAUCCCCCACAGCUGCAAAUACAACCCUAACCCUACAACCACAGCAGUGAUCACAACUCCAGUGAUUAUCACAACAAACCCAAUAACCACACCAACUCCAACAACCACAGCUACAGCUCCCAAAAUAACCACAGACCACAGCAACCUGACGCAAUUUUAACAACAGCCACAAUCAUAACCACAACAGCUCCAAUAACCACUGCAACAACCACAGUAGCAGGCAUUUGUUGAUCACCUCUUAUAAGCCAGGUCCUCCACCAAGUGCUUGUCAUAUAUUAUCUCACAUAGCCUUCCAGCUGCCCCAGGAAGUAGACAGAUAUACAUGCAUGCUUUAUUUAUUUUUAUUUUUAUUUUUAAAAGAUAGACUUCUAUUUUUCAGAAAAGUUUUAGAUUUACAGAAAAUUGAGGAGACAGUAGAUAGAGUUCCUAUAGGCCCCCUCCCUCCCACUCUCAGUUUUCCCUAUUAUUAACAUCUUGCAUUAGUGGGGUACAUUUGCUAAGAUUGAUGAAACCAUCUCGAUGCAUUAUUAUUAACUAAAAUCCAUAGUUUAUGCGAGGGUACAGAUUCCGGGGGCUUUGAUGAAUGCUUAAUGGCAUGUAUCUGCAUCAGAGUGGCAUACAGAAUAGUUCCAUUGCCCUGAAAUUCCUGCUUUCCACCUAUUCAUCCUUCCUCCCUUCUGUCACCCCCAAACUCCUGACAACCACUAGCCUUGACAAUAUUUUUAUAGUUUUGUCAUAUAGUUGGAAUCACACAGUAUGUAGCCUUUUCACACUGGCUUAUUCACAAUGUAAUAUGCAUUUAAGAUCCCUCCAUGUCUUUUCUUGGCUUGACAGCUCAUUUUUUUUAUUGCUGAAUAAUAUUCCCUUGUACAGAUGUACCACAGUUUAUUCAUUCACCUUUUGAAGUCUAUCUUGAUUGCCUCUAGUUUUGGGAAAUUAUGAAUAAAGCUGCUAUAAACAUUUAUGUGCAGGGUUUUGCAUGGACAUUUUUUUACCUUAUUUGGGUAAUUACCUAGGAAUACAAUUGCUGGAUCAUGUGUUUCAGCUAAACAUAAACAAAGACGAUGUUUAGUUUUGCAAGAGAGACAACAAAUGAAACUGUCUUCCAACGUGACUGUACCAUUUUGCAUUUCCACCAGAAAUGAAUGAGAGUUCCUGUUGCUCUGUUUUCUUGACAGUGUUUGGUUAUGUCAAUGUUCCAGAUUUUGGCCAUUCUAAUAGUAGUGUCAUUUCCUUGUUGUUUUAAUUUUCAGUUUCCUGAUGACAUAUGC
RNAcentral lists this long non-coding RNA (1670 nucleotides) under Homo sapiens (human). RNAcentral's name for it is "HSALNT0214945". Lineage: Eukaryota; Metazoa; Chordata; Mammalia; Primates; Hominidae. The record is from RNAcentral.